This 467-nucleotide ribosomal RNA is filed under the name uncultured bacterium. RNAcentral's name for it is "partial 16S ribosomal RNA". It matches the Rfam family "Bacterial small subunit ribosomal RNA", at positions 28 to 507 of the family's 1533-position model. The record is from RNAcentral.
GACGAACGCUGGCGGCGUGCUUAACACAUGCAAGUCGAACGGAAAGGCCUCUUUCGGGGGGUACUCGAGUGGCGAACGGGUGAGUAACACGUGAGUAACCUGCCCUUGACUUUGGGAUAACUUCAGUAAACUGGGGCUAAUACCGGAUAGGAGCUCCUGCUGCAUGGUGGGGGUUGGAAAGUUUCGGCGGUUGGGGAUGGACUCGCGGCUUAUCAGCUUGUUGGUGGGGUAGUGGCUUACCAAGGCUUUGACGGGUAGCCGGCCUGAGAGGGUGACCGGCCACAGUGGGACUGAGGUACGGCCCAGACUCCUACGGGAGGCAGCAGUGGGGAAUAUUGCACAAUGGGUGGAAGCCUGAUGCAGCAACGCCGUGUGCGGGAGGACGGCCUUCGGGUUGGAAACCGCUUUCGCUCAUGACGAAGCUUUGUGUGACGGUAGUGGGUAAAGAAGCACCGGCUAACUACGUG